UACGAGUGCCUCAAGCGUUAUCCGGAAUUAUUGGGCGUAAAGGGUGCGCAGACGGCUUUGUUAGUCUCAUGUUAAAUCUCACGGCUCAACCGUGAAUCUGCAUGGGAAACGGCAAAGCUCGAGCAUGUGAGGGGUCUAUGGAACUCUAGGUGUAGGGGUGAAAUCCGUUGAUAUCUAGGGGAACACCAAAAGCGAAGGCAAUAGACUGGCACAUUUCUGACGUUCAUGCACGAAAGCGUGGGUAGCGAAUGGG
This 253-nucleotide ribosomal RNA is filed under the name uncultured bacterium. RNAcentral describes it as "partial 16S ribosomal RNA". It matches the Rfam family "Bacterial small subunit ribosomal RNA", at positions 524 to 776 of the family's 1533-position model. The record is from RNAcentral.